GAUGAACGCUGGCGGCGUGCUUAACACAUGCAAGUCGAACGGAAAGGCCCAAGCUUGCUUGGGUACUCGAGUGGCGAACGGGUGAGUAACACGUGGGUGAUCUGCCCUGCACUUCGGGAUAAGCCUGGGAAACUGGGUCUAAUACCGGAUAGGACCACAUUUUGGAUGGUGUGGUGGAAAGUUUUUCGGUGUGGGAUGAGCUCGCGGCCUAUCAGCUUGUUGGUGGGGUAAUGGCCUACCAAGGCGUCGACGGGUAGCCGGCCUGAGAGGGUGUACGGCCACAUUGGGACUGAGAUACGGCCCAGACUCCUACGGGAGGCAGCAGUGGGGAAUAUUGCACAAUGGGCGCAAGCCUGAUGCAGCGACGCCGCGUGGGGGAUGACGGUCUUCGGGUUGUAAACUCCUUUCGCUAGGGACGAAGCGUUAUGUGACGGUACCUGGAGAAGAAGCACCGGCUAACUACGUG
This 466-nucleotide ribosomal RNA is filed under the name uncultured bacterium. RNAcentral describes it as "partial 16S ribosomal RNA". It matches the Rfam family "Bacterial small subunit ribosomal RNA", at positions 28 to 507 of the family's 1533-position model. The record is from RNAcentral.